This 207-nucleotide ribosomal RNA is filed under the name uncultured bacterium. Its description in RNAcentral is "partial 16S ribosomal RNA". It matches the Rfam family "Bacterial small subunit ribosomal RNA", at positions 568 to 774 of the family's 1533-position model. The record is from RNAcentral.
CGCGUAGGCGGUCUCUAAAGUCAGAUGUGAAAGCCCGGGGCUUAACCCCGGAAGUGCAUUUGAAACUUAGGGACUUGAGUAUGGGAGAGGGAAGUGGAAUUCCUGGUGUAGCGGUGAAAUGCGUAGAUAUCAGGAGGAACACCAGUGGCGAAGGCGACUUCCUGGACCAAUACUGACGCUGAGGCGCGAAGGCGUGGGGAGCGAACA